UGGGGAAUCUUGGACAAUGGGCGCAAGCCUGAUCCAGCCAUGCCGCGUGGAUGAUGAAGGCCUUAGGGUUGUAAAAUCCUUUCGUGGGGGACGAUAAUGACGGUACCCCAAGAAGAAGCUCCGGCUAACUUCGUGCCAGCAGCCGCGGUAAUACGAAGGGGGCUAGCGUUGUUCGGAUUUACUGGGCGUAAAGCGCGUGUAGGCGGGUCGUUAAGUUGGGGGUGAAAUCCCGAGGCUCAACCUCGGAACUGCCUUCAAAACUGGCGACCUGGACCCAAGUAGAGGCAAGUGGAAUUGCGAGUGUAGAGGUGAAAUUCGUAGAUAUUCGCAGGAACACCAGUGGCGAAGGCGACUUGCUGGACUUGUGGUGACGCUGAGACGCGAAAGCGUGGGGAGCAAACAGGAUUAGAUACCCUUGUAGUCCCUGAGCGGGCUGGCAAGGCGCAU
This 447-nucleotide ribosomal RNA is filed under the name uncultured bacterium. RNAcentral's name for it is "bacterial SSU rRNA". It matches the Rfam family "Bacterial small subunit ribosomal RNA", at positions 355 to 825 of the family's 1533-position model. The record is from RNAcentral.